UGGUUCGAUCAGUCGUUCGCCCCUAUACCCAAGACUGACGAUUNGAUUUGCACGAUCCGAACCGCNACNNACCUCCAGUUAGUUUCGGCUGGCUUCUGCUCUGCNCAGGCUUCGCNUCACCAUCUGGNNGGUCCCAGAGUGCNAUCUCUNCCUUCGCCNGUUAGAACGUGAUCUUAGGGACGAGGCGGUACUGCGCCUAGGNAUCGGUUAAGAUCCCGGGAUCGUACCUCGACUUAGUCGAACUAAGUCUUCGGUUUAAUUGCGGCNNUGGGUUUUCCGCCUAUUGCCUCGCUUGUAUGUUAGACUCCUUGG
Molecule: ribosomal RNA, 312 nt
Filed under: Nematoda environmental sample
Lineage: Eukaryota; Metazoa; Nematoda
Description: partial large subunit ribosomal RNA
Source: RNAcentral